UGAAUAAAUGCAACAAAGCUCUGCAUACUGAAAAGGGCACAUUCAUGGUUUGGACAAACACAUGUUAAAAUAGACAGAGACUCACCUGAGGAUUUCCUGGAAUCUUCAUAUGGUAAAUGUGAAUUAGCUCUCAAGUAUGAAGAUGGUAAAAAAGAAGUCCAACUGGGAGUCUAAGAAAAAUAUGCUGGCCCACAGGGAAGGAGUGUUACCCUGACAACUCAGGAGAGGAUAAUUCUGUAACUGCCUUUCUGUGAGAAACAGACACAAAUUUUGGAGUUCUCUGCUUAAUUCCAUGCAAAGUUUGAAGGGGGACACGGCCUGCAUGAAACAUUAAUAGAUAAGGGGCUGACAUAAAGGCAGAAAUGCAAAGGGAGCUGGGGGUGGAGGGGAGUAAUGUCCCUCUUCCCUCAGAUGCAGGGCCUGUUCUCAAGCUCUGUGUAGUCAAACGUCUGGUUUCCCCAGCUUGGACACAGACCACAUAUGUCCCCCUGGGUAGAAUACUUCUAAUUGUCUACACAUUGUAUUAGCAAGUAGCCUUUCCCCCAAACCCCUUUUCCUGAUAUGAAUCCUCAGCAGUGACUUACCUGUUCAUGCUGGCCCCUGAGAUGGGCUUCAUCUCUACUGCUUCGCUACACGGUCACCACUUGAAAGGGAAGGCCCAUUGUUGCGUGACAAAUUUCUCCUCCUGCAGUUGGUUUUAGCUAACCUAAUGAAUGCGCCACUAGCUGCCUUCUGCCCCCUGCCCCCCAAAUUCUACCUCAGGAGAGGAGUACCACUCUAUGCAUUCCUCAUCAUCUUCCUGUCUCAUUCCACUCCUGCCUCCAAGCAGCCACCCCUGAGGCUGGCCUAGGCCUAUAUUGUUCUGAGUCCAGAACAAACAAGAGUUUUGUCCCCGGGUAGAGGAAGAAAUCAUUAUUCCCUCUCUCCAAAUUUCUGGCCUUUAAAAAACACAAGAGCCCAACAGACUUCCUGAGGAUUAGCUCCUUUUUCAGUCAAAUGACAAUAGUAGCAUUCAUUUCCCUCGCAAAAACACCAUUCCCAAUCAUAAGAUACCGUCUGACUUCAUGAGCCCAACAAGAUUAGUGCCAAAUAGUAUGAUAAUAGUACAUUUCCUGAGGUCUGAGUUAUUCAUUCUUAUCUAUGGUUACUUUGCUAAAUUUUCA
Long non-coding RNA from Canis lupus familiaris (dog), 1163 nucleotides. RefSeq lists it as uncharacterized. The transcript is spliced from 3 exons. The record is from RefSeq and is a predicted model, not a curated record. NCBI's taxonomy places the organism in Eukaryota, Metazoa, Chordata, Mammalia, Carnivora, Canidae.